This 466-nucleotide ribosomal RNA is filed under the name uncultured bacterium. RNAcentral's name for it is "partial 16S ribosomal RNA". It matches the Rfam family "Bacterial small subunit ribosomal RNA", at positions 28 to 507 of the family's 1533-position model. The record is from RNAcentral.
GAUGAACGCUGGCGGCGUGCUUAACACAUGCAAGUCGAACGAUGAAGCCUAGUUCGCUGGGCGGAUUAGUGGCGAACGGGUGAGUAACUCGUGAGUAACCUGCCCUUCACUCUGGGGUAAGCCUGGGAAACUGGCUCUAAUACCGGAUAGGUGAGCCUACUGAACGGAGGGUGUUGGAUAGAUAUAUCGGAUUUGGAUGGACGCGCGGCCUAUCAGCUUGUUGGGGAGGUAAUGGCACAUAAAGGCGACGACGGGCAGCCGGCCUGGGCGGGUGACCGGCCACACUGGGACUGAGACACGGCCCAGACGCCUUCGGGAGGCAUCAGUGGGGGAUAUUGCACGAUAGGCCAAAGGCUGAAGCAACGACGCCGCGUGAUGGAUGACUGCCGGCAGAGUAGAAACCUCUUGCAGUAGGGAAGAAGCGAAAGUGACGGUACCUACAGAGGAAGCACCGGCUAACUACGUG